GCCCGGAUAGUUUAACGGUUAGAACAUGGGUCUCAUAGGACUUUAUGAUCAAUCUCAAAAGAUUGGGUCAUCCCAAGAUCCAAGUUCGAUUCUUGGUCCAGGCA
Non-coding RNA from Piedraia hortae CBS 480.64, 104 nucleotides. The record is from the annotation of a GenBank genome assembly. NCBI's taxonomy places the organism in Eukaryota, Fungi, Ascomycota, Dothideomycetes, Capnodiales, Piedraiaceae.